Molecule: non-coding RNA, 197 nt
Filed under: Planctomycetota bacterium
Lineage: Bacteria; Pseudomonadati; Planctomycetota
Description: Planctomycetes bacterium 6S RNA
Rfam family: 6S / SsrS RNA
About the family: E. coli 6S RNA was the first non coding RNA to be sequenced, but its function was unknown until recently. It consists of 184 nucleotides that fold into an extended hairpin structure with a large single-stranded internal bulge.
Source: RNAcentral
CUGCCUCUGCGGUGUUCGAGCCCGGUCUGUACAAAUUUGUGGACCCUACAUCAGUUCCGCAGGGAGCCGCUGACACCCCGGCCGCGUGUAUAUCCGGACGGCUAUGCCGGUACCGGCUCACACAACCCGGGGGCGCGGCGCCCACCUGAGAUUGCGGGUCUGAACAAAACAGCCCGAACGGCAUUUGCGGAGGUUUU